AUUGAACGCUGGCGGCAUGCCUUACACAUGAAAUCGAACGGUAACGGGCCUUCGGGUGCCGACGAGUGGCGAACGGGUGAGUAAUACAUCGGAACGUGCCCGAUCGUGGGGGAUAACGAGGCGAAAGCUUUGCUAAUACCGCAUACGAUCUACGGAUGAAAGCAGGGGACCGCAAGGCCUUGCGCGGACGGAGCGGCCGAUGGCAGAUUAGGUAGUUGGUGGGAUAAAAGCUUACCAAGCCGACGAUCUGUAGCUGGUCUGAGAGGAUGAUCAGCCACACUGGGACUGAGACACGGCCCAGACUCCUACGGGAGGCAGCAGUGGGGAAUUUUGGACAAUGGGCGCAAGCCUGAUCCAGCCAUGCCGCGUGCAGGAUGAAGGCCUUCGGGUUGUAAACUGAUUUUGUACGGAACGAAAAGCCUUCUUUUAAUACAGGAGGGUCAUGACGGUACCGUAAGAAUAAGCACCGGCUAACUACGUG
RNAcentral lists this ribosomal RNA (481 nucleotides) under uncultured bacterium. RNAcentral describes it as "partial 16S ribosomal RNA". It matches the Rfam family "Bacterial small subunit ribosomal RNA", at positions 30 to 507 of the family's 1533-position model. The record is from RNAcentral.